CACUCCUUCCCAUUCCGAACAGGAAAGUUAAGCUCUACAGCGUCAAUGGUACUGCAUGGGUGACCGUGUGGGAGAGUAGAACGUUGCCAGGU
RNAcentral lists this ribosomal RNA (92 nucleotides) under Clostridium perfringens. RNAcentral also lists the same sequence under 1 other name. Lineage: Bacteria; Bacillati; Bacillota; Clostridia; Eubacteriales; Clostridiaceae. The record is from RNAcentral.